Molecule: ribosomal RNA, 253 nt
Filed under: uncultured bacterium
Lineage: Bacteria
Description: partial 16S ribosomal RNA
Rfam family: Bacterial small subunit ribosomal RNA
Source: RNAcentral
UACGGAGGGGACUAGCGUUGUUCGGAAUUACUGGGCGUAAAGCGCACGUAGGCGGAUUUGUAAGUCAGGGGUGAAAUCCCGGGGCUCAACCCCGGAACUGCCUUUGAUACUGCGAAUCUCGAGUUCGGGAGAGGGAUGCGGAAUUCCAGGUGUAGCGGUGAAAUGCGUAGAUAUCUGGAGGAACACCGGUGGCGAAGGCGGCAUCCUGGACCGACACUGACACUGAGGAGCGAAAGCCAGGGGAGCAAACGGG